UACGCAGGGGGCUAGCGUUGUUCGGAAUUACUGGGCGUAAAGCGCACGUAGGCGGACUGAUGAGUCAGGGGUGAAAUCCCGGGGCUCAACCCCGGAACUGCCUUUGAUACUGUCAGUCUCGAGUUCGAGAGAGGUGAGUGGAAUUCCGAGGGUAGAGGUGAAAUUCGUAGAUAGUCGGAGGAGCACCAGUGGCGAAGGCGGCUCACUGGCUCGAUACUGACGCUGAGGUGCGAAAGCGUGGGGAGCAAACAGG
This 253-nucleotide ribosomal RNA is filed under the name uncultured bacterium. Its description in RNAcentral is "partial 16S ribosomal RNA". It matches the Rfam family "Bacterial small subunit ribosomal RNA", at positions 524 to 776 of the family's 1533-position model. The record is from RNAcentral.